AGAGUUUGAUCAUGGCUCAGAUUGAACGCUGGCGGUAGGCUUAACACAUGCAAGUCGUGCGAGAAAGUACCUUCGGGUGCGAGUAGAGCGGCGGACGGGUGAGUAACGCGUAGGAAUCUACCUAGUAGAAGGGGAUAGCCCGGGGAAACUCGGAUUAAUACCGUAUACCUCCUUAGGGAGAAAGAGGGCUUAGCUUUGAUGCUCUCGCUAUUAGAUGAGCCUGCGUAAGAUUAGCUUGUUGGUGAGGUAAUGGCUCACCAAGGCGACGAUCUUUAGCUGGUCUGAGAGGACGAUCAGCCACAUUGGGACUGAGACACGGCCCAGACUCCUACGGGAGGCAGCAGUGGGGAAUAUUGGACAAUGGGCGCAAGCCUGAUCCAGCCAUACCGCGUGUGUGAAGAAGGCUUUCGGGUUGUAAAGCACUUUAAGUAAGGAGGAAAAGAUUGUAGUUAAUACCUGCAAUCCGUGACGUUACUUACAGAAUAAGGACCGGCUAAUUCCGUGCCAGCAGCCGCGGUAAUACGGAAGGUCCAAGCGUUAAUCGGAAUUACUGGGCGUAAAGCGCGCGUAGGUGGUUUUUUAAGUUGGAUGUGAAAGCCCUGGGCUCAACCUAGGAACUGCAUCCAAAACUAGAUGACUAGAGUACGAAAGAGGGAAGUAGAAUUCACAGUGUAGCGGUGGAAUGCGUAGAUAUUGUGAAGAAUACCAAUGGCGAAGGCAGCUUCCUGGUUCUGUACUGACACUGAGGUGCGAAAGCGUGGGUAGCGAACAGGAUUAGAUACCCUGGUAGUCCACGCCGUAAACGAUGACAACUAGCUGUUGGGAGACAAGAUCUCUCAGUGGCGCAGCUAACGCUUUAAGUUGUCCGCCUGGGGAGUACGGCCGCAAGGUUAAAACUCAAAUGAAUUGACGGGGACCCGCACAAGCGGUGGAGCAUGUGGUUUAAUUCGAUGCAACGCGAAAAACCUUACCUACUCUUGACAUACUUGGAAGCUCUUGUAAUGAGAGUGUGCUUU
This 1016-nucleotide ribosomal RNA is filed under the name uncultured bacterium. RNAcentral's name for it is "bacterial SSU rRNA". It matches the Rfam family "Bacterial small subunit ribosomal RNA", at positions 8 to 1020 of the family's 1533-position model. The record is from RNAcentral.